CCUACGGGAGGCAGCAGUGGGGAAUAUUGGGCAAUGGAGGAAACUCUGACCCAGCAACGCCGCGUGAAUGAUGAAGGUCUUCGGAUUGGAAAGUUCUUUUCUAAGGGAAGAAGAAAGUGACGGUACCUUAGGAAUAAGCCUCGGCUAACUACGUGCCAGCAGCCGCGGCAAUACGUAGGAGGCGAGCGUUAUCCGGAAUGACUGGGCGUAAAGGGUGCGUAGGUGGUUUGGCAAGUUAGUAGCGUAACUCUAAGGCUCAACCUUGGAACUACUACUAAAACUGUUGGACUUGAGUGCAGGAGGGGCAACCGGAAUUCCUAGUGUAGCGGUGGAAUGCGUAGAUAUUAGGAGGAACACCAGUGGCGAAGGCGGGUUGCUAGACUGUAACUGACACUGAGGCACGAAAGCGUGGGGAGCAAACAGGAUUAGAUACCCUAGUAGUC
Molecule: ribosomal RNA, 443 nt
Filed under: uncultured bacterium
Lineage: Bacteria
Description: partial 16S ribosomal RNA
Rfam family: Bacterial small subunit ribosomal RNA
Source: RNAcentral